UACGUAGGCAGCAAGCGUUGUUCGGAGUUACUGGGCGUAAAGAGUGUGUAGGCGGUUUGCCAAGUUCGGUGUGAAAUCUCCCGGCUUAACUGGGAGCGUGCGCCGAAAACUGGCAGGCUAGAGUGCGGGAGAGGAGAGCGGAAUUCCUGGUGUAGCGGUGAAAUGCGUAGAUAUCAGGAGGAACACCUGCGGUGUAGACGGCUCUCUGGACCGCAACUGACGCUGAGACACGAAAGCGUGGGUAGCAAACAGG
Molecule: ribosomal RNA, 253 nt
Filed under: uncultured bacterium
Lineage: Bacteria
Description: partial 16S ribosomal RNA
Rfam family: Bacterial small subunit ribosomal RNA
Source: RNAcentral